CCAUUCUGAUACCACUCACUAGAAGAAGAUGACAGAACCAAUAAAAACGACAUAUAGUCAGCCAUUAGAGUUGUGUCGUUUUUUUGAAAAACAUUGUCGUUACAAAAGAUCUGCUUCCAUUCAUCACAAGAGAAGUUUCGAGCAGGUUGUGAAGGAUUGGUACUGCUCCCCAUAGUGACAGCUAAUCAGGCACUGGAACUGUGUCGUUUACUCAUAAAAUGUUGUCGUAUGAUAUAUAUUUGCUUCCAUUCCCUGCAUGCAGGCGAAGUUUCGAGUAGGUUAUGAAAGAUUGAUGGUCACCAAUCGAUCGGACUAAUAUUCGAAUAGUAUGCUUCUCAAAGCCAAGAUGGAGCACUGUGCAAAGCUCUAAAAACAUGCAUGCAUGACCAAGUAAUUAUUUGAACACACACAAACACACACAAAAGAAAAACAGAGAGAAAAAAAAAAGCCUCCCCAGUGGAAGACACAGCCUAAGAAGAAUCCAAAGCAGCAGGGUAACUGAUUUUCUCUGCCCCUCUUUAAAAAGUAUGGAAAGAACCUGGUCAAAAGUUCCAAAUUACCAUGUCAUUCUGUAGCUUCUCAAAAUUUGGACAUACAUACAGCUUCUAAAGCGAUCCUAUGAAUCCGUUAGAUAUUGAGCACCAUCCAUCGUUUUACUUAGGAUGCAUUCGAAGCUAAUUUUUAGACACGGCAAUGUCCAUGCCAUAACAGUACAUCUCUGAUGACACUCGAAGAGAAGUCCUCGCAACACCUGUCACACGUACACACCCGCCCCAGCCACGUGUGAGCAAACCAACUAGAAAUAGCCGAGAGCUUAGAUCUUCGGUGCUGCAACGACAACCCUCCUCUCAGCUAAUCCAACCUUUCCUCAUCUUUCUUUCAUGUCUUCGUGCCAAUCAGACAAAACCUUCUUUCCUCAGCUAAAUCUAGUCGCUUUUUUUCGUUACAUCGUUGUUCACACCUUUCCCUACAAGUGUCAAUAUCUCCCAUCUCCAUGGGAAAUAAUCGCAGUCUAAUAAUCUUCAUAAUUACUAUUUUAUUUUCAAUUAUUUUAUAUGAUUAAUUUUUUUUCACAGCACAUGCAUUGCAGAUAUGAUGGAUCUACUACUAUAUAUGCUCACACCAAGGUGGCCCGGUCAUGGAGAGCCACCGAACAGCCUCGCUUGCAAAAGUGUGAGGAGGCUGAAAGGAGAGACCCAAAGGGUACGGUUCCAAGAAUUCAUCAUUUUUUUUCCUUCAUUUUUUUGGUUAAAGAAGAUAUAUACGUAGAAGAAGAGAGAGAGAGAGGAAUAGAGAGAUGAGAAGGGGAGGAGAUAUGAUGAAGCAGGAGAGACAAGCGUACGCGGCGUUGGGCGCUCUGCUGCUGAUCGCGGUGGGAUACAUGAACUGGAACUCGUGGGGGAA
RNAcentral lists this long non-coding RNA (1404 nucleotides) under Elaeis guineensis (African oil palm). Its description in RNAcentral is "long non-coding RNA (EGUI_LNC005040)". The record is from RNAcentral. Lineage: Eukaryota; Viridiplantae; Streptophyta; Magnoliopsida; Arecales; Arecaceae.